This is a long non-coding RNA of Tachysurus fulvidraco (yellow catfish), 822 nucleotides long. RefSeq lists it as uncharacterized. The transcript is spliced from 3 exons. Lineage: Eukaryota; Metazoa; Chordata; Actinopteri; Siluriformes; Bagridae. The record is from RefSeq and is a predicted model, not a curated record.
AAAAAGACAUAUAUAAAUAUAAGUCCACUACUUCCAGACAAUAACCCAAAAUUUGCUCACGGCACCACAAUUGCACGCUCGUUAGCCAGGUAAACUGACCCAGAUCAUUCUCUGGGGCACCUUCUUAUAGGCCAAGCCCCGCCCCUUUUGGGUAAGACCAACAUUAUCACCAGAGGUUAGUAAACAGGUAAGUAUGUACAUUUAAACCACACAACACCAUUAUAUAUAUAAACAUAUAAUCAACGAAAUAUUUCGAGAAACCAAAAUAUGAUCAAAAUAACAAAUAAUAAAGAUAAACAAAAAUGAUAAACACAGAGUAAUAAUAUUUAAUUUAAUUAUUCCCCCUGUAACAAACAAGACAAUGGACGAGCCAGCUUCCGGCUGCUUCACGCCGACACGCCCACUCACAGCGGACCCGGCGCUAUUUAUCCAGGCCGCUGGUGGCGCUCGGGUUCGACCGGCCGAUGAUGGAGAAGAAACGCGGAAGACCAGCAACACAGACGCCGACAAACACUUAUAACAGAACUCUUUAUGGAGUGAACUCAGAGUCAGCAGAACCUGAAGCCGAAUGUGCAAAAAGUAAUGUGUAAAUAGAGUUCCUGAUGAAGAGGACAGAUGAGUGCCGCCAUGGAUGAGAACCACAAAGCUGCUGUUUUACUUUAUAAAGAAAUGAAAUGUUACCAUUUUUAGUGAACUGUUGUAGACUUUUUGUAAUUUGUCAGUUCUAUAAUUUGUUUUGUCAGAUUCAUUAACACCUUAAAGUCAUAAAGGCCAAAUCGAACAUGUUUCUUCGGUACUGACAAUAAACAGUGUUGUCUGAGA